RNAcentral lists this ribosomal RNA (460 nucleotides) under uncultured bacterium. RNAcentral's name for it is "partial 16S ribosomal RNA". It matches the Rfam family "Bacterial small subunit ribosomal RNA", at positions 338 to 795 of the family's 1533-position model. The record is from RNAcentral.
CCUACGGGAGGCAGCAGUGAGGAAUAUUGGUCAAUGGACGAGAGUCUGAACCAGCCACGUAGCGUGAAGGAUGACUGCUCUAUGGGUUGUAAACUUCUUUUAUAUGGGAAUAAAAUGUUCCACGUUUGGGAUUUUGUAUGUACCAUAUGCAUAAGGAUCGGCUAACUCCGUGCCAGCAGCCGCGGUAAUACGGAGGAUCCGAGCGUUAUCCGGAUUUAUUGGGUGUAAAGGGAGCGUAGGUGGAUUGUUAAGUCAGUUGUGAAAGUUUGCGGCUCAACCGUAAAAUUGCAGUUGAAACUGGCAGUCUUGAGUACAGUAGAGGUGAGCGGAAUUCGUGGUGUAGCGGUGAAAUGCUUAGAUAUCACGAAGAACUCCGAUUGCGAAGGCAGUUCACUGGACUGCAACUGACACUGAGGCUCGAAAGUGUGGGUAUCAAACAGGAUUAGAUACCCCUGUAGUC